GCAGAACCUGAAUCCUGUAUUUGCAGAGCAGCUCAGCUGAAGGGCACAGCAGUGCCUGGUGAGGAGUAGUCUGAGUUUUUUCAGGGUGUGAGAGCAGAGGAAGGCAUGCCCAUAUGCUCAUGUGAAUGUCAGCUUCUACUGCUUCAAAGGAGAGAUUAUGAGUCAUGGAACAGCAAGGAACAAUGGGCAGGAUGGAGAGGUAAGUGUG
RNAcentral lists this long non-coding RNA (208 nucleotides) under Cyanistes caeruleus (blue tit). RNAcentral describes it as "lncRNA (ENSCCEG00000011661.1)". The record is from RNAcentral. Lineage: Eukaryota; Metazoa; Chordata; Aves; Passeriformes; Paridae.